CUUUUUUGUCAGCGGCUGGGUCCACGACAUCGGAAUCAAGAUACUUAAGGAUAACUAUCGCCUUGUUGUUGGCAGGGUUAAUCAUUCUCAAAGAAGUGGGGAAACACCCCUUAGAAGUUGGAUCAUCGCUAAAGAUGGGGAAAUUAUGACAGCCCACUGCAAUUGCAUGGCAGGUCUCUCAGAGUCCUGUUCACACAUAGGUGCUGUACUGUUUGCCAUCGAAGCAGGGGUCAAAAUGAGAGAAAUGGACAGUUCCUGUACAAUGGAGAGAUGUAAAUGGCUGAUGCCCUCACAUGUAAAAAAGGUAUGGAUCUGAACAUGAAUCCAAAGCCA
RNAcentral lists this long non-coding RNA (333 nucleotides) under Neogobius melanostomus (round goby). RNAcentral's name for it is "lncRNA (ENSNMLG00000005591.1)". The record is from RNAcentral. Lineage: Eukaryota; Metazoa; Chordata; Actinopteri; Gobiiformes; Gobiidae.